GAUGAACGCUGGCGGCGUGCCUAAUACAUGCGAGUCGAGCGAACAGAUGAGGAGCUUGCUCCACUGACGUUAGCGGCGGACGGGUGAGUAACACGUGGAUAACCUACCUAUAAGACUGGGAUAACUUCGGGAAACCGGAGCUAAUACCGGAUAAUAUAUUGAACCGCAUGGUUCAAUAGUGAAAGACGGUUUUGCUGUCACUUAUAGAUGGAUCCGCGCCGCAUUAGCUAGUUGGUAAGGUAACGGCUUACCAAGGCAACGAUGCGUAGCCGACCUGAGAGGGUGAUCGGCCACACUGGAACUGAGACACGGUCCAGACUCCUACGGGAGGCAGCAGUAGGGAAUCUUCCGCAAUGGGCGAAAGCUUGACGGAGCAACGCCGCGUGAGUGAUGAAGGUCUUCGGAUCGUAAAACUCUGUUAUUAGGGAAGAACAAAUGUGUAAGUAACUAUGCACGUCUUGACGGUACCUAAUCAGAAAGCCACGGCUAACUACGUG
This 497-nucleotide ribosomal RNA is filed under the name uncultured bacterium. RNAcentral's name for it is "partial 16S ribosomal RNA". It matches the Rfam family "Bacterial small subunit ribosomal RNA", at positions 28 to 507 of the family's 1533-position model. The record is from RNAcentral.